GGAGAUGUUGCUCAGUGGGAAAGUGCUUGCCUGGCAUGCAUGAAGCCCUGGGUUCCAUCUCCAGUACCACCC
RNAcentral lists this transfer RNA (72 nucleotides) under Ictidomys tridecemlineatus (thirteen-lined ground squirrel). RNAcentral describes it as "Spermophilus tridecemlineatus (thirteen-lined ground squirrel) tRNA". It matches the Rfam family "tRNA". From Rfam's summary of the family: Transfer RNA (tRNA) molecules are approximately 80 nucleotides in length. Their secondary structure includes four short double-helical elements and three loops (D, anti-codon, and T loops). Lineage: Eukaryota; Metazoa; Chordata; Mammalia; Rodentia; Sciuridae. The record is from Rfam by way of RNAcentral.